GGGAGGGGUGGAGGGGAGGGUCUGGCUAGAAGGAGCAAGAGAAGCCGCACCCCAGCCCCACGUGUGCACUCGGACGUGCCUGAAGUCGAAGGAAGGUGCAGAGCGGAGUGGAGGCCGCAGGGAGAGGUCCACGCCCCGUCUCAGUGCAGGUUCCUACAAGAAAUUCAAGCAUGGCUGUGGUUGGUUUCCACUCGGCUUCGCUGAAAACCUGCAAACAAGAGCCCACACGUCGUCCUCAAGUCAAGGACAACGAUGAUGCUUGCUCAGCUGCCAUCAGCCCCAGAGAUUCUGAACGGGCACAGUGGGUGGAGAUAAUCCCAGUUAGAGCGAAGAAGCCUGAUGUCGCAGGUAGCCCGUGGUGGCCUGGCCAGCAGUAAAGCGGUUCGUGUUUUAAGACCACGGUUGCAUUCCCACCCAGAGAUGCCCAGCUCUGAGGCCGGGUACCGAGGAUACCGCCAGCACGAGGAGUGCAGAGUUCAAGGGCGCAGUGUGGCCCAUGUGCCGGUGGGCUGCGAGCUGAUGAGCUGGAGCUACAGAGUUUGGGAACGAAAAUCUGAGUCCAAAAUGGUCCCCAAAUAGGCUGAGGUCCACCGCCAGACACUGGCCCGGAGCCCUGAUCAAUACCGUUGAUUGUAAGACCGGUGGGACCAGAGGGGACCCAGGGCAAAGCGGCCCCACAACUGGAAAAAGAGGCCAGAGGGACUGUGCGCUGGGGGAGGCGGCCGUCUUGUCUUUGUAUCCAGCGCCUCAGGCCACACUCUGAAUAUCAGGCUGGGAGUGUUUUUGUUUUCAUAAAUGGGCACAAUUGUUUAAUGUGCCCGAGGAGCCUGCUGCCAUGAUGGUUUGCCUGUGUUUCCCAGAGUGCUCUGAGGCGGUGAGGCCAGAGUUCCACAGAGACUCCUGGGAAAUGCUGGGUUAGGAGAACGCUGGGCUUCGUUGCCCAGCGGGGCCUGUGCUUGAUGUACCAAGGAGCACUGAGACUCUCGAGUAAGAGACUGAAGUGCACAGUCUGCUCACACUCGUGGGCCGUGGUUUUCCAGAGCAUAGCCUGCGAUAAGUAUUCCAAGGACUACACUUUGGGAAGCCAGUCAAUGAAAGGCCCUGGUAGCUAAAAGCUCUCCCUGUUCCUGUAUUAGUUACCUCCUGCUGUGUAACAAAUCACCCCAAACUUAGUGGCUUAGAACAAUAAGCAUCUAUUAUCUCAGAGUUUCUGUGGGUCACGAAUUCAGAAGUGGUGUCACUGGCUGGUUCCGGCUCCUGGUCUCUUUGGAGGUUGAAGUCAAGGGGUCGGCUGGGGCUGCCAUCAUCUGACGGCUUGACUGGAGCUGGAGGACGGGCUUCAAAGACGGUGCCCUCGCAGGGCUGGCAAGGUGGCGCUUGCCAUUGUCAGAGGCCUCGGUUCCUCGCCACAGGGACCUCUCUGUGGGGCCGCUUGAGUCUCUUCACUAUAUGGCGGCUGGUUUCCCCCAGAGCAAUGCAAGAGAGCAAGACGGAAGCCACCGUGCCUUCUGUGACCCAGCCUUGGAUGGUCCCUGCAGUCAUUUCUGCGGUGUCCUAUUGCUCACCCAGGGCAGCCCUGUUCGUUGUGGGAGGAGCCAGAGAGGUGUGAACACAGGAGGCAGGAAUCAUCGGAGAACAUCUUGCAGGCUGACUACCAAGGUAACCAUGACUCAGGACAAGGACGGAUAACUUGCCUCAUCCCCCAGCUGGUUUCUCACCCUUUAGUGCCAGUUGGUGAGUGAGGACUGAACCUGCUCACCUGUGCUGUGAAGGCGGGAAGAAGAGGUCUGGGACUUAUCAGCCACGCCCAGCCCCAGGGAACAGCAGCAAUAACAAUCAUCCAGCCCCUUUGGGGGAGCGCUCACCCCAUGCCAGGUGCCUCCCGGACAUCACGGCCGCUGCACAAUCCUUGUCCCCAAGCAGUAGCUUCCACCAAUAUUUCCAAAUCAGGCCACUCAUUCUAUGAAAUGCAUAAAAUGAGAUUUUUUUCGUGAUAACGGCUAUAGCCACACCAGCAGCUCUGCCUUCUGGAAGUUCAGAGACAAACUCCUGGCCCAGGUGAGCCCAGCUGGAGAUUGGAGUGGAGAGCAAACUGGGGUGGGUUAGAUGCUGAAGAUAAACAGAUAAUAGGGGAGAUGAAAGCUUUAUUUCAUGGACAGUCGCAGACGAGGAGUCAGGGCGAGCCGGGGGGAUCUUUGCUUUAUGGAGCCUCGUUGCUGUGACAAGUGGUCACAUCCCCAGGCUGGGAGGCCGUGAGGCCCGGGGGUGAGGAGCGUGCACCUGGUGCGUCCCGGGCCUGCCCAUGUCUGUUACUCGCUGUGUGACCCAGGCAAGUGACUUCAUGGUCCUCAGUUUCCCUUCUAUAAAAUGGGGUGAUGAUGGCGAACUCCUCCCGUCAUGAUGAGGAUUCAGAAGGUUCCGGAAUGCUUUUUCAUGGCCGAGCUGAUGGUGGGUCAUAGAGGUGGUGGCCCCCAGGUUCGAAGAACUCUUGUAGAAAUGCCAUUGCCUGGAAGGAGGCUCGGUCACGCUUAUGACCAAGAAUGGACCCAUCGGCUGCUGCCCAGGGAUCCUGCAGGGUGACCCCUGGGACCUGGAAGGAACCCAGCCCCCCUUCUGCUGGGGGCAUGUGCGGCCGUGGAGCCGGCCAGGCCCCUUCCUGUCCUGUCGGGGCACAAUUUCAACAGAGGGAGCGUCCUUGGCGUGUUUUGCCCUCUCAGCUCGCAGCCGCUGAGCAGGACCUGGGGAGUCCCAGCCAAAGGCCAGGCCAGGAGACGACCCUUGGAAAGCAGGACGCAGACCUGCGCCCCCAUCCUGCAGCCUGGGCCCGGGCCCAUGGAGGUGUUUGGGCUGUAGGUGCUCAAGGCGGGUCCUUGGGGCCAGGCUGGCCUGGGGGCACUUGGCUCCAUCCCUCAGAGCUGUGUGACUCUGGGCGAGUGCCUCCACCUCCCAGGACCUCGGUUUCCCCAUCCCUAACAUCUGCGGCUGGGCUGGCCUGCUGGCCCUCAGUGGGUUUGGAGGAGCCCGGGGCUGGCCAGGAGGGCCCGGCGCCCACGUGGGUGUGUACGGGGUGGACCCAGACCACCCCUUUCCUCUCCAAUCGGGCAGCUCCGUUUAACCGCUGGUAUGUUGGUGUUCUGAGUAAUACCUCAUUUAAAAAAGAAGGAGGAGAAAGAAAAGGAAACGUUCUCCAGCGAAAGAAUACAGUCCAGAAGUUUCCGCUAACUUACUUUGUCCCUUGGCUCAUUCCUUCACGCUCUGAGGGGGCAGAGACGCGGACUCCCUCCGCCAGCUAGGUUCAGCGACCGUCCGUUUCCAAACGGUUCCUGGUUUUCUGGAUUUGAAUCUCUGGUUCUUUCAGCCUCUGUGAAGGCCCAUGAGAGAGGGAGACCAGAAGGGGGCUUGGGUUGAGGGUCCUCAGAGGUUCUGGGGUCUCCUCUGUGGGUGCCAAGGUCACAGUGGGCUGGGCCUCCUCUCGGGCCACGCGCCGUGGGCAUCUCAGAUGCAUGCCCCUCGGCCCCCGGACCGGGCACACCCACGGGGCCGGCCCAGCGCUGCCCCUCCACCUGUACUGGCAGCCUCAGCCGGCCUUGCUGCCUCUGGGGCUGCUUCUUCCUCUGUGAAGUGAGGAGGCAGUGGGCCCAAUGAUCUCUCAGCCCCUUCUAACUUCAACGCUCUAACUGCUGCAUUUAUUGAGCUCCGGCUGUCUGCAGAGUGGCCUCUGGGGUGUGGGGGGGCGGACCCCAGCCCGGGACAGGAGCCCGCCUGCUGCCUCCAGCUGGCCUGGGAAUGGUGGAGCUCAGAGUGGCCCUCCCAGCCUCAGGAGACCCCAGGCCAGGCCCAGCUGCCAGGCUGCCAUUUGAAAGGCCUCCUGUUGGUGGCACUUUGGCAUGGUUUGGGUGCUCUGUCUUAGAGCAGAUCUGGUUUGUCCCUGAAAACACGCUGGCUCCCUCUCCGUCAAGGUUCUGUUUUUCUCUCCAGGGAAUUUCAGUGCCUCGAGCUAGACUGGACCAUGUGAUUCCCCAGGUGAAACCCUUCCGUGGCUCCUCACUGCCCUCAAAGACAGUCCAAGCCUGGGAGUGUCCCAGGGCCUUCUGGGGCCCGGCACAGGCCAAGCUCUCCCUCCUGGGGGCUCUCCACCCCUCACCCUCUCUCCUCCAGACACACAGACUAGACCGUGUCCACUUCUGUCUUCUCUCUAGAGCCUCACGCUUGCUCUCCUCUGCCUGGAAUCCUCGCUCUCUCCUCUUAAGGCUGGCUAAAUGUCACUUCCUCCAGGAAGCCCUCCCUGCCUAACUGCGCCUUGAGUUCUUGCUCAGGCUCACACCAUCCUUCUCCUUCGCAUCACUGCUCAUGGCGGUGAUCUCAGAUUGCCAGUGUAUCUGGAGCGCGGGCUGUGGGAUUUUCAUGCCUCGUACCCGGCGUAGGCCCGGCCCCCAGGGGCAGCUCUGGAAAGCUCUGCUGAGCAAAUCCAGGCCUGGAGACUGUGUGCGCACGACCUGCAGCCUGUUGGUCCAAGUUGGCAACCAGAGGCCAGCUGGGGCCGCCAGCCAUUCCCCUGCGGGUCACUCGGGGCCUAGAAAGCCCGGUGGCCAGCGCACAGCCGUCCUCGGGCCGCUGCCUGGAAGGAGGGAAGGGGUUAAGCGUUUCUGGGCCUCGUGCUGUGUCUGCGGCAGUUCCCUUCCGCAGCAACGGAGGUUGGGGAGGAAUGUUUGCAAUGCAGCGCAGGGCGGGGGGAGG
Long non-coding RNA from Equus caballus (horse), 4737 nucleotides. NCBI's taxonomy places the organism in Eukaryota, Metazoa, Chordata, Mammalia, Perissodactyla, Equidae. The record is from Ensembl.